UGUAUUAAAAAUCUCAAAUGCGGAAGCGUAAUAAAAAUUUUGAUUAACAUCCCUUACACAAUAACCAAAAUGUACUCAAAACAUGAAGGAACAAACUAACUAAAAGAGAUACUCGAAAUAAGAACUAUAAAUAUAACUAUGAAGUCUUUAGGCGUCCCCUUCGCCGUCUUCCUGCGGAACGGGCUCGGGAACAACGUCUUCCUGAUCUGAAAUGGUUAAAUAAGGAAUGAGCUACACCAGCCCAGUAAAGACAUCACACUAUCUCACCGCCACGGAAGUAAAGGUGGGUAGAAAACAAAAAUGACCAAUGGAGCAUAAUUUAUAACAAACUCGUUUAUUAACAUAAAAAACUUUACUGUCCACUUACCUCGGUGAGAUCCAUGAAAACAACAUAUGAAAGCAAUAACAUUAUCAUCAUCAUGAAAUCAUAUAGACUUUAUAAUAUAACACUUACCACGCCUUUGCAUUUCAAUUAUUAAACAACAUAUUUUCCUCUUN
Molecule: long non-coding RNA, 498 nt
Filed under: Carica papaya (papaya)
Lineage: Eukaryota; Viridiplantae; Streptophyta; Magnoliopsida; Brassicales; Caricaceae
Description: long non-coding RNA (CPAP_LNC000487)
Source: RNAcentral